UGAUAUCUGAGAAGCAUUUCUCUCAAGGUCUCAGAGAGUCUUUUUACGAGGAAAUUUGCCGAGGAGCAGGUCGUAGCUCAAGUGCGUUGGGAUCACUCUUCUCUGCGAGCACAGUUUUAGCUCUUCAAGUUUAGAGGCAUCUCCCAAUUCAAUCGAAGACGUGAGGGAGAUUCUAGCAUUGGGAAUGCUUCCGACGAUCUCCGCGAUCCAAUUUUGGAUAGGACACCAAGAACACAUCAUCUUCUCUUGCAUCAAAAGAAUCCAAAGAAUUAAGAAGCUCUUCUGAAGACAUAGUGGAGAAGAGGAUCCCCUUGAAUUUAUGGAGAACACUUAGCUGGCUCUGGGAUGACAUCUUCCAUCAAAUCUGUCAAAAAUUAUUCACUAAAAACUGACCACACAAGGCACAAAAGGCUCAACUCUGAGUGACAGCAAUCAAGUGGUCCAUCCAGAUGCCAGCCACAGGGUACCAGCUCUACUCUUGGUGAGGAAGAAGGAACAGAGCACCUGUGUGCCACUGGCCCUGCUCACUUAUAAAUGGCUUUGAGAUUUUCCA
This is a long non-coding RNA of Fukomys damarensis (Damara mole-rat), 553 nucleotides long. RefSeq lists it as uncharacterized. The record is from RefSeq and is a predicted model, not a curated record. The transcript is spliced from 4 exons. NCBI's taxonomy places the organism in Eukaryota, Metazoa, Chordata, Mammalia, Rodentia, Bathyergidae.